This 1372-nucleotide ribosomal RNA is filed under the name uncultured bacterium. RNAcentral's name for it is "bacterial SSU rRNA". It matches the Rfam family "Bacterial small subunit ribosomal RNA", at positions 28 to 1381 of the family's 1533-position model. The record is from RNAcentral.
GAUGAACGCUGGCGGCGUGCCUAAUACAUGCAAGUCGAGCGAACGGACGAGAAGCUUGCUUCUCUGAUGUUAGCGGCGGACGGGUGAGUAACACGUGGAUAACCUACCUAUAAGACUGGGAUAACUUCGGGAAACCGGAGCUAAUACCGGAUAAUAUUUUGAACCGCAUGGUUCAAAAGUGAAAGACGGUCUUGCUGUCACUUAUAGAUGGAUCCGCGCUGCAUUAGCUAGUUGGUAAGGUAACGGCUUACCAAGGCAACGAUGCAUAGCCGACCUGAGAGGGUGAUCGGCCACACUGGAACUGAGACACGGUCCAGACUCCUACGGGAGGCAGCAGUAGGGAAUCUUCCGCAAUGGGCGAAAGCCUGACGGAGCAACGCCGCGUGAGUGAUGAAGGUCUUCGGAUCGUAAAACUCUGUUAUUAGGGAAGAACAUAUGUGUAAGUAACUGUGCACAUCUUGACGGUACCUAAUCAGAAAGCCACGGCUAGCUACGUGCCAGCAGCCGCGGUAAUACGUAGGUGGCAAGCGUUAUCCGGAAUUAUUGGGCGUAAAGCGCGCGUAGGCGGUUUUUUAAGUCUGAUGUGAAAGCCCACGGCUCAACCGUGGAGGGUCAUUGGAAACUGGAAAACUUGAGUGCAGAAGAGGAAAGUGGAAUUCCAUGUGUAGCGGUGAAAUGCGCAGAGAUAUGGAGGAACACCAGUGGCGAAGGCGACUUUCUGGUCUGUAACUGACGCUGAUGUGCGAAAGCGUGGGGAUCAAACAGGAUUAGAUACCCUGGUAGUCCACGCCGUAAACGAUGAGUGCUAAGUGUUAGGGGGUUUCCGCCCCUUAGUGCUGCAGCUAACGCAUUAAGCACUCCGCCUGGGGAGUACGACCGCAAGGUUGAAACUCAAAGGAAUUGACGGGGACCCGCACAAGCGGUGGAGCAUGUGGUUUAAUUCGAAGCAACGCGAAGAACCUUACCAAAUCUUGACAUCCUUUGACAACUCUAGAGAUAGAGCCUUCCCCUUCGGGGGACAAAGUGACAGGUGGUGCAUGGUUGUCGUCAGCUCGUGUCGUGAGAUGUUGGGUUAAGUCCCGCAACGAGCGCAACCCUUAAGCUUAGUUGCCAUCAUUAAGUUGGGCACUCUAAGUUGACUGCCGGUGACAAACCGGAGGAAGGUGGGGAUGACGUCAAAUCAUCAUGCCCCUUAUGAUUUGGGCUACACACGUGCUACAAUGGACAAUACAAAGGGCAGCGAAACCGCGAUGUCAAGCAAAUCCCAUAAAGUUGUUCUCAGUUCGGAUUGUAGUCUGCAACUCGACUACAUGAAGCUGGAAUCGCUAGUAAUCGUAGAUCAGCAUGCUACGGUGAAUACGUUCCCGGGUCU